AGAGUUUGAUCCUGGCUCAGGACGAACGCUGGCGGCGUGCUUAACACAUGCAAGUCGAACGGUGACGACGGGGCUUGCCCUGUCUGAUCAGUGGCGAACGGGUGAGUAACACGUGAGUAACCUGCCCUUGACUCUGGGAUAACCGCGGGAAACGGCGGCUAAUACCGGAUAUGAGACGUACAGGCAUCUGUUGCGUCUGGAAAGAUUUAUCGGUCAAGGAUGGGCUCGCGGCCUAUCAGCUUGUUGGUGGGGUGAUGGCCUACCAAGGCGACGACGGGUAGCCGGCCUGAGAGGGCGACCGGCCACACUGGGACUGAGACACGGCCCAGACUCCUACGGGAGGCAGCAGUGGGGAAUAUUGCACAAUGGGCGCAAGCCUGAUGCAGCGACGCCGCGUGAGGGAUGAAGGCCUUCGGGUUGUAAACCUCUUUCAGCAGGGAAGAAGCGCAAGUGACG
RNAcentral lists this ribosomal RNA (456 nucleotides) under uncultured Cellulomonas sp. RNAcentral describes it as "bacterial SSU rRNA". It matches the Rfam family "Bacterial small subunit ribosomal RNA", at positions 8 to 474 of the family's 1533-position model. The record is from RNAcentral. Lineage: Bacteria; Bacillati; Actinomycetota; Actinomycetes; Micrococcales; Cellulomonadaceae.